GUGCCAGCCGCCGCGGUAAUACCGGCAGCCCGAGUGAUGGCCGAUCUUAUUGGGCCUAAAGCGUCCGUAGCUGGCUGCGCAAGUCCGUCGGGAAAUCCACUCGCCCAACGAGUGGGCGUCCGACGGAAACUGUGUGGCUUGGAACCGGAAGGCUCAGAGGGUACGUCCGGGGUAGGAGUGAAAUCCCGUAAUCCCGGACGGACCACCGAUGGCGAAAGCACUCUGAGAAGACGGCUUCGACAGUGAGGGACGAAAGCUAGGGUCUCAAACCGGAUUAGAAACCCUAGUAGUCC
Molecule: ribosomal RNA, 293 nt
Filed under: uncultured bacterium
Lineage: Bacteria
Description: partial 16S ribosomal RNA
Rfam family: Archaeal small subunit ribosomal RNA
Source: RNAcentral